UGGAGAAAGAGGAGCACUCCUCCAUUGCUGAAUUUCAGGGACUGAAAUGGAGAAGGAGCCUGGGGAAAAAAUGCCCGGAGACAGGCCCAAGGUGGCAUCCAGCGCAAUAGGAAGUCCCAAGACCUGACACAAACUAUUCGACUUACAAAGGUGACAAAAAGUUAGCUCUAUCCAUGAAGUUUCCCAAGACAAGAUAAAUAAAGAUAUAUAAACCUCAUCUGCUUCAGAUUCUAAUGGACUUUUCAAUUGACAUAGUUACCAGUUCUCUCUUUCACUGGCCCUAAGACUGAAUUCUGCACUGGGAAAGGGGCUGCAGUGACCAACAUUGUUUCUACCUUUUUCCAAGGAUUUUUGCAUCUGCCUCGAUUGCAUGCUGGUUCUUUAUCUCACUGGGUGGUGCACUGAAUCCACCAGAGAAAUGUAAGACUGUAAAGUAGAAUGUUAGAAUCUGAUAUGAGGCCAAAGAUAAUGGGGAGUAGGGCACUCCUAUCGUUCCCCUGUUGGUAUGAAGAACUGGCACUGCAGAUCAGCUCCAAGCCUAGUGACAUCCCACAUAGAUGACAGAGAUCCACACAUCUGUGGACAUGGCAACCACCAUACAUUCCCAAAAUUGACUUGACUCACCUUCUACCUUUACCUGUGUGAGGCUACCUCACUAUCCAAAUAAAAGGUAAAUCCCUCUGCUCGCUCUCUCUCUCUCUCUCUCUCUCUCUCUCUCUCUCUCUC
Mus caroli (Ryukyu mouse) is the source of this 726-nucleotide long non-coding RNA. RefSeq lists it as uncharacterized. Lineage: Eukaryota; Metazoa; Chordata; Mammalia; Rodentia; Muridae. The record is from RefSeq and is a predicted model, not a curated record.